Molecule: long non-coding RNA, 927 nt
Organism: Notothenia coriiceps (black rockcod)
Lineage: Eukaryota; Metazoa; Chordata; Actinopteri; Perciformes; Nototheniidae
Exons: 3
Source: RefSeq, a predicted model, not a curated record
UGUCUUAUAUCAGAAAACACUUAGGUAGCCCCAAAAAUACUUUAUUUUCUUCUGACCUGAAGUAUAUCAAUUUAGAUUUGUGUUGUGAGAGUUGGAUAUAUGAGCUCUAGGGCUGUCUGCCUUCUCUCCUAUCGAGUGGAAUGAAAUGGCACUGGGCUCAUGGUGCUCUAAUCUCCCAAAAGUACAAUUGGAAAAACUCAGCAAGGUCUCUUUCCAGAAAUCAUGAGCCAGUUACUAAAGAUAAUCCACAGACUUUGUUGUGAGCAUUCUCUUACAAUAAAUAUUUUUCUUUCAAACUUUCUUUGCCAUCCAGAAGCACAAGCCUGUCAUCCAUUAAGCCGGGAUGCACACGUUCUUCAGCACAAACCACAAAUGUGCUACAGAGUUAAAGCGGGCAUUAACAUAUUCUAACAGUGUUUGAUUGGUAAAUUACUGCAUCUUAGUCCCUGUUUUCUCUUUCCCAGAUGAGAAAAAAGCAGUGCAGAAGAGAACCUUCACCAGGUGGAUGAAUGGGUUUCUGCAGAGACGUGAACCUCCGAUUGAAGUGUACGACCUGUUCACAGACAUUCAAGAUGGAAGAAUACUCAUGGCUCUGCUCGAGGAGCUGUCUGGGUGCCAACUAACCCGGCGCCGUGGGAGGGAAUGUCGGUAACACUUAACUAUAAAGUACACAAAAUGUGCUUAGUUACUGAGUAGUGAAUAAGGAACGACUAGAUAGUUAAUGGUUAGUUAAUGAGGAGUUCCUGAGUGACUGCGAUUGAAGAACUGAUGGUUAGUUACUGGUAAACAGAAUGGGUGGGGGUACUGUAUUAAUGAAUGAUUCAUUUAAGCAAUCAUACACGAGAGGACCUCAUGAGCCAGUUACUAAAGAACUUGACCUCGUUCAGGCGCAAGCGCCUCGGUCCUGCCGCAGUACUGUCGUACCAA